GGAAUCAGGUGACGGAUUAUUGGAUACCUUUCUGACAUCGUGAGCUUCAAAAGAUCAAGGAAGUGUGCCACUUGAAGUCCUGAGGCUAUGUCCUUCUGCCUGAGACCCAGAGGGGAGCCAGAGGCCACACAAGGGCAGUGAAGCUUUACUUUACCAUGAAAAUCAUAGACUGCCUGGAAGGACAAAAUCCCCCAAUUCAUUUAUAGCCUGGAACUGAGGAUGCCAGACGCUGGGGCACUAUUGUCAUUUGUUGUUAUG
RNAcentral lists this long non-coding RNA (258 nucleotides) under Monodelphis domestica (gray short-tailed opossum). Its description in RNAcentral is "lncRNA (ENSMODG00000039694.1)". The record is from RNAcentral. Lineage: Eukaryota; Metazoa; Chordata; Mammalia; Didelphimorphia; Didelphidae.